GCUUGCUGUUUCGCUGACGAGUGGCGGACGGGUGAGUAAUGUCUGGGAAACUGCCUGAUGGAGGGGGAUAACUACUGGAAACGGUAGCUAAUACCGCAUAACGUCGCAAGACCAAAGAGGGGGACCUUCGGGCCUCUUGCCAUCGGAUGUGCCCAGAUGGGAUUAGCUUGUWGGUGGGGUAACGGCUCACCWAGGCGACGAUCCCUAGCUGGUCUGAGAGGAUGACCAGCCACACUGGAACUGAGACACGGUCCAGACUCCUACGGGAGGCAGCAGUGGGGAAUAUUGCACAAUGGGCGCAAGCCUGAUGCAGCCAUGCCGCGUGUAUGAAGAAGGCCUUCGGGUUGUAAAGUACUUUCAGCGGGGAGGAAGGGAGUAAAGUUAAUACCUUUGCUCAUUGACGUUACCCGCAGAAGAAGCACCGGCUAACUCCGUGCCAGCAGCCGCGGUAAUACGGAGGGUGCAAGCGUUAAUCGGAAUUACUGGGCGUAAAGCGCACGCAGGCGGUUUGUUAAGUCAGAUGUGAAAUCCCCGGGCUCAACCUGGGAACUGCAUCUGAUACUGGCAAGCUUGAGUCUCGUAGAGGGGGGUAGAAUUCCAGGUGUAGCGGUGAAAUGCGUAGAGAUCUGGAGGAAUACCGGUGGCGAAGGCGGCCCCCUGGACGAAGACUGACGCUCAGGUGCGAAAGCGUGGGGAGCAAACAGGAUUAGAUACCCUGGUAGUCCACGCCGUAAACGAUGUCGACUUGGAGGUUGUGCCCUUGAGGCGUGGCUUCCGGAGCUAACGCGUUAAGUCGACCGCCUGGGGAGUACGGCCGCAAGGUUAAAACUCAAAUGAAUUGACGGGGGCCCGCACAAGCGGUGGAGCAUGUGGUUUAAUUCGAUGCAACGCGAAGAACCUUACCUGGUCUUGACAUCCACGGAAGUUUUCAGAGAUGAGAAUGUGCCUUCGGGAACCGUGAGACAGGUGCUGCAUGGCUGUCGUCAGCUCGUGUUGUGAAAUGUUGGGUUAAGUCCCGCAACGAGCGCAACCCUUAUCCUUUGUUGCCAGCGGUCCGGCCGGGAACUCAAAGGAGACUGCCAGUGAUAAACUGGAGGAAAGGUGGGGAUGA
RNAcentral lists this ribosomal RNA (1111 nucleotides) under Escherichia sp. ESBL19B1_13_1E. RNAcentral describes it as "bacterial SSU rRNA". It matches the Rfam family "Bacterial small subunit ribosomal RNA", at positions 78 to 1182 of the family's 1533-position model. The record is from RNAcentral. Lineage: Bacteria; Pseudomonadati; Pseudomonadota; Gammaproteobacteria; Enterobacterales; Enterobacteriaceae.